GAUGAACGCUGGCGGCGUGCCUAAUACAUGCAAGUCGAGCGAACAGAUGAGGAGUUUGCUCUUCUGACGUUAGCGGCGGACGGGUGAGUAACACGUGGAUAACCUAUCUAUAAGACUGGGAUAACUUCGGGAAACCGGAGCUCAUAACGGAUAAUAUAUUGAACCGCAUGGUUCAAUAGUGAAAGACGGUUUUGCUGUCACCUAUAGACGGAUCCGCGCCGCAUUAGAUAGUUGGUAGGGUAACGGCCUACCAAGGCAACGAUGCGUAGCCGAGGUGAGAGAGUGAUCGUCCACCCUAGAACGGGGACGCGCACCAGGCUACUGAGAGACGCCGCAGACGGGUAUCUGCCGCAGUGGUCGGAAAUCUGACAGAGUAACGCCACGUGUGUGAUAGAGGUGUUCCGAUCGUGAAACUGUGUUAUUAGUUAAAAACCAAUGUGAGAGUGACAGAGGCGAACUUGACGGUACCUGAAGAGAAAGCCACGGCUAACUACGUG
Molecule: ribosomal RNA, 497 nt
Filed under: uncultured bacterium
Lineage: Bacteria
Description: partial 16S ribosomal RNA
Rfam family: Bacterial small subunit ribosomal RNA
Source: RNAcentral